UACGUAGGGGGCAAGCGUUGUCCGGAAUUAUUGGGCGUAAAGGGCGCGUAGGCGGCUGUACAAGUCAAAGGUGAAAUCCCUCGGCUCAACUGAGGAACUGCCUUUGAAACUGUACGGCUUGAGGCCGGGAGGGGGUAGCGGAAUUCCCAAUGUAGCGGUGAAAUGCGUAGAUAUUGGGAGGAACACCAGUGGCGAAGGCGGCUACCUGGACCGGUUCUGACGCUGAGGCGCGAAAGCGUGGGUAGCAAACAGG
This 253-nucleotide ribosomal RNA is filed under the name uncultured bacterium. RNAcentral's name for it is "partial 16S ribosomal RNA". It matches the Rfam family "Bacterial small subunit ribosomal RNA", at positions 524 to 776 of the family's 1533-position model. The record is from RNAcentral.